This 314-nucleotide ribosomal RNA is filed under the name uncultured eukaryote. Its description in RNAcentral is "partial 18S ribosomal RNA". It matches the Rfam family "Eukaryotic small subunit ribosomal RNA", at positions 1470 to 1796 of the family's 1831-position model. The record is from RNAcentral.
CCCUUAGAUGUUCUGGGCCGCACGCGCGCUACACUGACGAAUGCAACGAGCUUAUAACCUUGGCCGAAAGGUCUGGGUAAUCUCCAAAUUUCGUCGUGAUGGGGAUAGAUUAUUGCAAUUAUUAAUCUUCAACGAGGAAUGCCUAGUAAGCGCAAGUCAUCAGCUUGCGUUGAUUACGUCCCUGCCCUUUGUACACACCGCCCGUCGCACCUACCGAUUGAAUGGUCCGGUGAAGCCUCCGGAUUGGCGCGCACCUCGGUGCCGCCGAGAAGUUGGCUAAACCUUACCAUUUAGAGGAAGGUGAANUCGUANCA